GAUGAACGCUGGCGGCGUGCCUAAUACAUGCAAGUCGAGCGAACGGACGAGAAGCUUGCUUCUCUGAUGUUAGCGGCGGACGGGUGAGUAACACGUGGAUAACCUACCUAUAAGACUGGGAUAACUUCGGGAAACCGUAGCUAAUACCGGAUAAUAUUUUGAACCGCAUGGUUCAAAAGUGAAAGACGGUCUUGCUGUCACUUAUAGAUGGAUCCGCGCUGCAUUAGCUAGUUGGUAAGGUAACGGCUUACCAAGGCAACGAUGCAUAGCCGACCUGAGAGGGUGAUCGGCCACACUGGAACUGAGACACGGUCCAGAUUCCUACGGGAGGCAGCAGUAGGGAAUCUUCCGCAAUGGGCGAAAGCCUGACGGAGCAACGCCGCGUGAGUGAUGAAGGUCUUCGGAUCGUAAAACUCUGUUAUUAGGGAAGAACAUAUGUGUAAGUAACUGUGCACAUCUUGACGGUACCUAAUCAGAAAGCCACGGCUAACUACGUG
RNAcentral lists this ribosomal RNA (497 nucleotides) under uncultured bacterium. Its description in RNAcentral is "partial 16S ribosomal RNA". It matches the Rfam family "Bacterial small subunit ribosomal RNA", at positions 28 to 507 of the family's 1533-position model. The record is from RNAcentral.